RNA transcript from Nannospalax galili (Upper Galilee mountains blind mole rat), 643 nucleotides. It is a transcript of the gene named high mobility group protein B1 pseudogene, with no coding region annotated. The transcript is spliced from 2 exons. The record is from RefSeq and is a predicted model, not a curated record. Lineage: Eukaryota; Metazoa; Chordata; Mammalia; Rodentia; Spalacidae.
AUGGAGUUAUCAGCUGCACGUCUCCUAGACACCUGUGAUGCCAGAAAACAACUGAAUCUGGGCAAAGGAGAUCCUGAGAAGCCGAGAGGCAAAAUGUCAUCGUAUGCAUUCCUUGUGCAAACUUGCCGGGAGGAGCACAAGAAGAAGCACCUGACGCUUCAGUCAACUUCUCAGAGUUUUCCAAGAAGUGCUCAGAGAGGUGGAAGACCGUGUCUGCUAAAGAAAAAGGAAAGUUUGAAGACAGGGCAAAGGCUGACAAGGCUCGUCAUGAGAGAGAAAUGAAAACCUAUAUCCCUCCUAAAGGGGAAACAAAAAAGAAGUUCAAAGAUCCCAACGCACCCAAGAGGCCUCCUUCGGCUUUCUUCCUGUUCUGAGCAUCGCCCCAAAUCAAAGGAGAGCGUCCCGGCUUAUCUGUUGGGGAUGUUGCAAAGAAACUGGGAGGGAUGUGGAGCAGCACUGCUGCAGAGGACAAGCAGCCUUAGGAGAAGAAGGCCGCCGGGCUGAAGGAGAAACACGGAAAGGAUAUUGCUGCCUAGAGAGCUGAAGGAAAACCUGAUGCUGCAAAAAGGGGGUUGUCAAGGCUGAAAAGAGCAAGAAAAAGAAGGAAGAGGAGGAGGAUGAAGAAGACGAAGAUGACAAAUAA